AGAAAACCCUGGUGUCCCUCUGGCUAUGAUUGACAGAUCUACAUCUUCAGCCUUCAAGACCUUUGCCAUGUGUGCUUCCAUGAUCUGCCUUCGACCCUCGACAUCAGGAUUAGGUACGACAAUAUGGCGGUCGAAUCGUCCAGGUCUUACUAGAGCUUUGUCCAGUGACUCGGGGAAGUUAGUGGCAGCGACCACAAUAAUCCCCUCAUUUUGCUUGAAGCCGUCCAACUCAACAAGCAUCUGGUUCAAGGUCAUUUUCAUGUACUGUUGGUCCUUCGGGUUGCGG
RNAcentral lists this unclassified non-coding RNA (286 nucleotides) under Hevea brasiliensis (rubber tree). The record is from RNAcentral. Lineage: Eukaryota; Viridiplantae; Streptophyta; Magnoliopsida; Malpighiales; Euphorbiaceae.